ACAAACUUGGUCAUUUAGAGGAAGUAAAAGUCGUAACAAGGUUUCCGUAGGUGAACCUGCGGAAGGAUCAUUGCAAUUGACGGCGGCGUGUCUCCGAGUGCCUCACAGUACGAAGGACCGCCGCUUCACCAAUUCAUCAAACGCCCUGUGAACCUGGUCGCAGACACACCGGCUCGCGCCCCGCCACCUGGGCGGUGGGGCCACGGCGAAAGCUGUGCCGCGUCUCGGCCCAAACCAAAACAAAAUGUUUUUUCUUCCCUUCUUUCCUAGACUGAAGUGACAAAAAAAAAAACAAAACAUUCUUACAACUUUUAACAAUGGAUAUCUUGGCUCGCGCAUCGAUGAAGAACGCAGC
This 355-nucleotide unclassified non-coding RNA is filed under the name uncultured fungus. Its description in RNAcentral is "partial contains small subunit ribosomal RNA, internal transcribed spacer 1, and 5.8S ribosomal RNA". The stretch from base 1 to 73 matches the Rfam family "Eukaryotic small subunit ribosomal RNA", at positions 1759 to 1831 of the family's 1831-position model. Lineage: Eukaryota; Fungi. The record is from RNAcentral.